Molecule: long non-coding RNA, 1507 nt
Organism: Manduca sexta (tobacco hornworm)
Lineage: Eukaryota; Metazoa; Arthropoda; Insecta; Lepidoptera; Sphingidae
Exons: 2
Source: RefSeq, a predicted model, not a curated record
AUAAUUUGAAACGGUCGUACAACUUAACGAUCAAUCAAUGGCAUUGGUGCGUUGUUCAAACAGAUCUUUGGUUGCAUCACGUCCAUAUUUAAUUAGAGCCGAGUCUAAUUAAGAGUGCGGAUUUAUUGUGUGGAGUGUAACGUAAUGCCGGUGGUGGUCGAUCGAUCAGUCGGAGCCCCGAGGCGGUGCCCCGACACAAUAGACUUGCGUCAAUUAUAUUCCGUUCUCGUCGGCUACCGUUGACGUUCAUCAAUCACGGAUUACUCGCCGUAAUAAUUAUUGACAGACUCAUAAUAAUUACUGUACGCCGCCCUAAAUGAGGGUUACUCGUCUAAUGACUCGGUGAUUGCCCGUCGAUGUGCUUGUAUCAAGAACAAGUUUUGCAAUUUGUCUUGUGCUGUAAAAUGGAUAAGAGUUUUUUUGCUUGCGUGGCAUGAAUCCGUGUAAGGAAACUUAAUGAAUCGCUUAUACUCUUGCAUUUUAAAGUAGUAUUUAAGAGUUGCUGUAGUCUUAAUACCAUCUCUAUGCGGUAGAAACUCACGUCACACAACCUAUCCUAACCCAUUUUUUAACGAGGCUUCGAAAUUCAAAUUUGACACUUGCGGCGUCAAGUCGUUGGAGUAAGAAUAUUUUUAUAAAAUGUAAAUGAAAUAAAAUGCCGCUACCCGAGCGGGACAUAAACACAGGCAUGAAUUAAUGCCGAUGGCGCGAUGUGGCGCCGCUCGCCGCGCGCCGCGCGUCGCCGCGCCGGCGCGGCCGGUAGUUCGGAUGCUGGCGUUGGUAGAGACCAGUGAGUGGGCGAGUGCGGCAUGUCACCGAUGAGAAAUUGUCGCCUGCGUCCGGAAUCGACAUAUUAUCACUGAUCGCUGGCUUUCUCCGAAAUACACCCACUACACGGUUGUUAAAAUUUAUCAUACAACGUGGGUAGUUGGCGGGGCGGUGUGCGAGGAGAGAGGACGCGGCGCCCGCGGCACGAGUUACCGCCACGGGCGACUGCGCCCAACGGAUUAUAGCUGAAAUUAAUAGUUGUAUCAACUAUCAACACGUUCCAAUGCUUCUGGGUUUUGCAUAGUGGUCGUGAAUGUUGCUGCCAUUGUUAGUCAAUUAGUCUGUUAGUAAGUAAGGACUUUAAGUCUCAACAAUUUGAAAGAUUGUGAUAGUAUUGUACACAGUAAAUUAUAAUUUUAUAAUACUUUGUAUAAAGGUGGAUAUUAUGAUUAGGCUGUUGACGUAAGAUGAUGAUCAUUUUAAUUAUGUUUUUAAGGUUAUAUUAAAUAUGUAGUUUAAUACAAGAACUCUGUUAUUUUUUUUAUUUUCAUUUCAGUUAAUUUUACAGAAUAUGGCUCCAUCGUUAUCAGACGAUGAUUUUGCCAAUGUUAAAGUAGGAAAAGACAUUUUGACCAAUGUUCAACUAAUUUCUUACAUACAAUUGCAUAAUCGUUCAAAUGUAAUGCCAUUCAGGUUGACACGAGACGUUAUUGUUUUGAAAAUAGAUUUUUACAUCUUG